RNAcentral lists this long non-coding RNA (566 nucleotides) under Nicotiana benthamiana. RNAcentral's name for it is "long non-coding RNA (NBEN_LNC024829)". The record is from RNAcentral. Lineage: Eukaryota; Viridiplantae; Streptophyta; Magnoliopsida; Solanales; Solanaceae.
GAAAAUGGCACGGAAUGACCCUUCGUGCAUACUCACUCUUCCUAUCCCAAUCAACAAUCACAAACAAUCGGUGUUAGGGGAUAGACAACAAUAUAAAACAUCCUAGCAAGGGAGAAAAAACAACAAAUAAGUCCCGACAAAGGAAUAAUUACAACACUUUCUCUAUUGGUCACGUCUUUCUCAAUUACCAUAUUCACGUUCGAGCCAACGCUCCAAUAGUGCACAAAUCAUAAUUCUUCCUCAAAUUCUUCACAUUAUAUGAAACUUAUCAAUUUAACAAGGAAGAAGUAUCACAAAAUUCGAAUAAAUACAAUUAAGACUCACGGUCAUGCUAGACUCCGGUAUAUAGAUACUCGUCACCAUGCCUAUACACCGUACUUAACAAUUAGCAAAUAGCAAACAACACCCUAAUCCUAUUCCCUCAAGCCAAAUUUAGAACAAACACUUACCUCAACUUUCACGGCUAAAUCAAUAGGGCUAAACAAAGCAACAAUAUACCAAAAUUACAACCGAAACCAUGAAUCGAUACCGAAAAGCUCGAAACCCAAAUCAGAACUAAAACUUCC